Molecule: transfer RNA, 71 nt
Filed under: Bos taurus (domestic cattle)
Lineage: Eukaryota; Metazoa; Chordata; Mammalia; Artiodactyla; Bovidae
Also listed under: 5 other names
Rfam family: tRNA
About the family: Transfer RNA (tRNA) molecules are approximately 80 nucleotides in length. Their secondary structure includes four short double-helical elements and three loops (D, anti-codon, and T loops). Further hydrogen bonds mediate the characteristic L-shaped molecular structure. tRNAs have two regions of fundamental functional importance: the anti-codon, which is responsible for specific mRNA codon recognition, and the 3' end, to which the tRNAs corresponding amino acid is attached (by aminoacyl-tRNA synthetases). tRNAs cope with the degeneracy of the genetic code in two manners: having more than one tRNA (with a specific anti-codon) for a particular amino acid; and 'wobble' base-pairing, i.e. permitting non-standard base-pairing at the 3rd anti-codon position.
Source: Rfam by way of RNAcentral
UCCCCAGUGGCUCAGCAGUAAAGAAUCUGCUUGCAAUGCAGGAGACACAGGUUCGAUCCCUGAAUGGGGAA